Long non-coding RNA from Monodelphis domestica (gray short-tailed opossum), 3606 nucleotides. RefSeq lists it as uncharacterized. NCBI's taxonomy places the organism in Eukaryota, Metazoa, Chordata, Mammalia, Didelphimorphia, Didelphidae. The record is from RefSeq and is a predicted model, not a curated record.
CAUAUGCACAGUAGGGGGGGAGGGGAACAGCUUCACUGAAAUCCCUCUGCCUUUCUAGUAGUAAUGAGUUCUGGGAGGGAGGACAGCCCACAGAGAACAUGCUACACAGAGUACCCUACAUGCCAUCUUUGGCACUUGUGCCAUAGGGUGACCUAUUUGGAGGCCCCAGAGAGAUUAGAAGUUGUUGCUGCCUGAGCCACCUUCCAGGUGUGAGAAUCCCACAGGAACAGGAGUUCCAAUCAAGAAUCAACUGGAUAGGUUGGCUGGUCAUUUUCCUAGGGAGAAAAAACUCGCAGACAAGGUUACCCUAGAGCUUGAACCUGAAGGAGUCCAUCUAAGACAUCUGUACAGGGAAACGUGAGCCAAAUGGGAAGGACUUCACCAAGUCUCCGAAGAUUCCUAAUAUAGCCAACAAUGAAACUGUUUGAGAAUCUGUCUAUUGCAAAGGAGAUUUCAACAAAAGAAGGCCACUGAAGUCUACCUUGGAUCCCCAAGACCUGAAAGACAAAAUAGACUGUGGGAAAUGGGGAAGUGUUUUCUGUUAAGGUUUUUUUCCUUCUAAACCCUUACUUUCUGUCUUGGAAUCAAUGCUGUGUAUUGGUUCCAAGGCAGAAGAGUGGUAAGGGCUCAGCAAUGGGAGUUAAGUGACUUGCCCAGGGUCACACAGCUAGGAAGUGUCUGAGGCCAGAUUUGAAUCUACGACCUCCCAUCUGUAGGCCUGGCUCUCAAUCCACUGAGCUACCCCCUCUGUUAAGAUUUUCUUGAAGCAGAGUGCCUGCUUUCUGGCCAUCAUUGCAUCUCUGCCAAUGAGGAGAAGCCAGCUGUCUAUGCUAGGUCCUUCGUCUUCCUACUACUAUUGGUAACAGAGGGUCAGAGUCUCCUUGGCACACUGCCCCUUGUUAUGGUCAGUGUAACUGCUAUGAGUAGAAGGGGGAAAUUACAACCUUGUUUUAUGAAACUCUAAAUUUACCUUUGACCCAUGGGAAAUUGCCUUCAAGAAACUCCAACUGACCCAUGUCAGACAUCAAGAAUCCAUUGAGCACUGUAAGGGGAAAAGGGGUUUAUUUAUAUAAAAAAGGUUGGACUGGAUUAUAUUUAAAUAUAGGGUCACCAGGAAUUUAAUUUAUUCCAAAGAGAUUUAUUUACAAAAUAUAGAAAGAAUGAAGUAGGAAAUCAGAGAGGAUAGGGUACGAUAUCUAGCCUAAGCACUAAGUAAUUUACUCCCAGUCCCUGGCUCAACCCAGUCAGGGAGAGUUAAUUUAGCCAGAGAGGCCUUAGCUGAGGACCUGGGGAAGUCUCUCUCAAGAGGUAGGUCUCUCCUGAGGCUACCUUCUUCAGAAAAUAUCCAGGAAAAGGAGUCGGCUUUUUUCAUUCAUGCUGUAAGUCCAAAAGAAGAGAUUUAAGAACAGCCUCACCAGGAACAGGGUCUUAGGUCCAGUCAGUAGAUUCUUCUCCAGUAUCAACUCCAAAGAAUGAAGAACUCCCUCUCACAGGAAGUUCUACUCCAACUAGAACUCCAAGUAAAACUGUACUCAGGAAGUUGUUACUCCCUUUUAAAGACACUUUUUUUUGCAUCACUUCCUGUGCCUUCCCCUAUUUUUACAUCUACCAAUCACAGUUGAAGCUUUGCUUUAGGACUGCCCAGGGGCAGUCAGUUUAAUUCUGGCUCAUCACCCACUAUUGCACAUGUGCAUCACAGACCUCCCCCACUCAAGUAUGAAUGGGGUGUUUAUACCUUUGGUGAUUAAAUCUAAAAAUGGGCAGGGGUUACAAUUUAAUCUUCAUAAUCAGGGGAGAGUUAAAUUUAAUUUUCACAGCAUCCUGGAUGGAAUCAGGUCUUAAGUACCUUUUUUCUUCUAAGUUUCUCUUAGCAUGUAGGCUGUUCUCAGGGAUUCCAGCCUAAUCCUCUUUGCCUGGCCCUCAUGUAACCAGGCAGUUGUUUCUCUUUGGUUAGAUUCCCUAAGGAAUAAGUAGAAUAACAAAUUCUUUAGUUUGGUGGAAAUUCCCAUUCAUGUUUUGUUUUGUUUUUUCUUUCCUGGAGAUAAUGUUCCCAGAGUCUGAGAGCUUGGCUCUGUAUGGUGCAUGUAUGACUGUGUGGUGGCCAUAAGAGCAUUGUCACCCUUGUCCUGAUUAAAGACUUGUUCAUUUGUAAUUGCUUGGGUGGUUCUGCGUUUUCCCAGCCUCUUCACUGGGAACUCGAUAGGCCUUGUUACUCAUACUUCAGCAGAACCCUCUGCCCUUUUCAUAUUGAUCAUAAGCUCUUUUGAGGGUAACUUUCAAGUUUCUUUUGUGUUGAACUGUAAGCUCCUUGAAGACAAGGAUUUUCUUUUUCUUUGUGCAGAAAUGAGCAAAACUUGACCUAAAAUGGUAUUUAACAUACCAUUAGCAUCCCAUUGAUAUCGCAGUUUGCUCCCCUCAAGUGGAAAGUGAACCAUGGGUAAAGUUACACAGACCAAAGUGGAGGUUGGGCAAAGUGAUGGCAGUUCCAUAGAGACCAAGGGCAAUAACUGCCCAAGCAAACGCCCCCUUCCUUAGUAACUGGGAUAGAAAGCAUUCCUGAGAACUUCUACUUACCUCUUACACUUUACUCUCGCUAACUCUGUACUUUUACUUACCACACUUCUUCACCUUCCCUUAAUUGCUAACUUAUUAUACUAGAGACUCUAUUACUAUAUUCCCUUAUAUUAAAGCUUGUUUCUGCAUAAUGAUGUCAGUUUGAACCAUCAAUUAAUUCUUGGGAUAAGACCCAAUUAGCAUUAACCCCAUCAAUUUCUUGUCUCUAAAAAUGCAAUUCUUAUUUAUUUCAUUUCUUAUUCAAAAUUCUGAUUUCUUCUCUUUCAUGAACUUUGGUCUGGUCAAACUAUCCUACUAGUUUGCCUCUUAGAAUCCCUGGCUUCUUUCAAAACUCAGUUCAAGUACUACCUACUAUGAGAAGCCUUUCCUGAUUUCUCAAUUCCUACCUUCACGUCAUUUAACAUUUGAGGAAAUGAAAGCCCAUAAGGGAAUAAUUUGCCCAGUGAAUGUCACAUAGUAAGAAGCAGAAUUGAAAUUUGAACCCAGAGUCUUUGAUACCAAAGGCAAUUUUCUUUCUACAUCACAAUGCUUCUCCUCCCUUGGCCUACCUAGUGAGACUGGACUUCCCUAAGAGUGGUGGAGCCUGACCAAAGGUCAGAAGAGGUAUCAUGAGAACAACAGGGCUGGCUCUCCUGAACCAGAAGAAAUGUGGACAACAAAUGGAACUAUUCAUCACAGAGCUGCUGGGCAGUCUAACACUCUGACAGAUGCUCACUGUUGUAAUGCUGAAAAUGACAUGAGAGAAAUUUGAAGCAAGUUAUAUGAUGCCUCAGAAUGGAUGUUUACCCUCAAGGAAAGCCCCAGAGGGAAGACUGAGUGAAGAGUUUUCAGCCUUUUCCUCCCCAGAGACCUACAAAAGGAAGAAAAGCUCCAAGAAUCUGAAAUUAGCCCUCAGCAUCAGGCAAGGACAGACCCCUCCCCGCCGGAGUGUGCAAAGCUGUUCCAGGAUGCCUGCCCCAGAGAGGGGAGCUAGAGGUCCUGCCUCAGGAACUUCUGACCCCAAUACCAAGCCAGGGGUAGACUUGAUGAAGA